CCAGUUCUGAUUCCACCUGUUUUGUAGCAAAUCGUUGAAAGUGGCCCAACCCCCACACAGAACGUUCAGGAAAAAGAAAGGAUAGCCGGCAGCGAUCAACCAGGGAUGAGCUUUCACCAAUUGGCUCCGUAAGGUUAGGAUGAAAUCAUUAUUUUAAAUUUAAUUAAUUAGGUAAUUUGUUAAUCUUUAUAACAGCCAAGUUAUCGACGAAAUCUAGCCUGCAGAAUAUCUCCAGAGGUUUCAUUUCAGCCUCCCAAAUGAGCACAUUUGGAUGGCACUCAUGCCGGAACAGGCCGGAACCAAACGAUGAAGAAAAUCAUUCGAUACAAUUGGAAGAUAAUUCGAGAUUUUAAGUCAUCCACCCGUAAGCUAAUCGAACUCGGCCGGGGUGCAGUGAAUGGAGCACAGCAGCAAUUACGAAAGUGUUAUUGCAGUGAAGCAGUGUUGGACUAAUCGACUGAAGAAGCUGCCAACCGAUGUACCGAUAAAAAAAUAUCAUUCCGACAGCAAAUCGAACCCUAGUCGUAUCGUGACCAAAAUGACAUGCCAGUUCACUAAAAUCAUCCGGAACUAAAAGCCAAUGCACCGAAUCAUCCGCUUAUCGCAAGAACCGGGAAAAUCACUUGAGGUUAGUACAGAGGCUGGUACGUUUCGACACAUACAGGAAAACUAUAAAGGAAUCUCCAAAAUAAGACAAUUCCUCGCUAAGAAGCAAAACACACAGAACUGUUGUGCUCGGUCGAUGAUGAUGUUCCUGCUCACUUUUCUGAGGUUUACUAUAUGGAACAAGGUGGGUCAAUUCCAACAAAUAAACAAUACCGAUUGGUCGACCGAUAUCUGCAUAAGGAAACAUGCAAUACUUUACUUAUUUUAAAACAAAAAACACUACCGUUGGGACAAUAUACAAAAUAUACAAAAAUAAUUUAA
This is a long non-coding RNA of Uranotaenia lowii, 927 nucleotides long. RefSeq lists it as uncharacterized. NCBI's taxonomy places the organism in Eukaryota, Metazoa, Arthropoda, Insecta, Diptera, Culicidae. The record is from RefSeq and is a predicted model, not a curated record. The transcript is spliced from 3 exons.